CUUUGGUCUCCAACUAUACAUGUGCACUCAUAUACAUAUACACAUAUCUGAACACAUAUGCCAUAUAUGCAAGUAAAAUUAAGCAGGUGCUAUGUAGAAGGUUCUCAGUUUAUGAUGGCUCAACUUACAACUGCUGACUCCACAAUACAUCAGAAUGAUGGACAUUCAGUAGAAUCUCUACUUUGUGGUAUGGCCUCUUCCCAGCCCAGUGCCGUGGUAACGAAGGAGAUGUAGCUAUGGCUCCUACACAGCCACAAAACCACAAGGGGAGACAAUCAGAACUCUACACUGCUAUGUUAGGAAGAUGUGUCAAUGAAACUCAUGUCUUCAUGCUCACAAGGCAAGCAUUUCACCAACUGAACUGCACACCCAGGCCUUAGAGCAACUAUUAAUAGUGCUUCUGUUCUAACCUGCAAACCUUCUAAUUGGAUAAUAGAUGAUAUCUGGUCACUGUAUCUCUAGAAUAACCUAAUAGGAAAGGGACCAUUGAUGUGCCUGACUCUCUAACACCCAAUGUUACAACUGCUGGAUCAAAUAGUGAUUGCAGUGACUGGUGAAAAGACUCAGGCAUUUUGGCACCUAAAGAGCUUUUAUGUCCAGCAUGAUGGUCCAUGCCUAUAAUCUCAAUACUUGGGAGGCAGAGAGAGGAAGACUGCCGAAAGUUUGAAGCCAGCUUCAGCAAAAAGUAAAAAUGAACUCUGAGUAUCCCAGAUCCACAUAGACCCACUUCUGAAAUGGCUAUCUGCAUGACCACUGGGUUGGACCCAUCCACUGGAGCCUGGAGGAGGCAUCACUG
This 796-nucleotide long non-coding RNA is filed under the name Cricetulus griseus (Chinese hamster). RNAcentral's name for it is "lncRNA (ENSCGRG00015032515.1)". Lineage: Eukaryota; Metazoa; Chordata; Mammalia; Rodentia; Cricetidae. The record is from RNAcentral.